Long non-coding RNA from Astatotilapia calliptera (eastern happy), 372 nucleotides. The record is from Ensembl. NCBI's taxonomy places the organism in Eukaryota, Metazoa, Chordata, Actinopteri, Cichliformes, Cichlidae.
CAGGAGAGGAAUGUUCAACAUGAUCUCCACAGUCUUCAUUCUCUUUUUCUUUCAGCUGAUAACGGAUAACGGAGUUUCUAGCACCUACAAUGUCCUGCAAACACCUUCCAUCAUUAAGAAAGUUGGUCAAUCAGUUUCCAGUGAGAUCCACUGUUCACACAGUGUGUCGUCUUUUAAUCAGAUUCUCUGGUACAAACAAGACAAACACAGAGCUCUAAAGUUCCUUGGAUACCUAAAUGUAAACUCCCCAAACCCUGAGGAUGAUGUGAAAGGGAAAAUCAGCUUUAAUGGAGAUGCCAGAAAACAUUCAAACCUGACCAUUUCUAAUGUUUCAGUGACUGACAGUGCUGUGUAUUUCUGUGCUGCCAGCAC